This 874-nucleotide long non-coding RNA is filed under the name Polistes fuscatus (common paper wasp). Its description in RNAcentral is "uncharacterized LOC122514074". The record is from RNAcentral. Lineage: Eukaryota; Metazoa; Arthropoda; Insecta; Hymenoptera; Vespidae.
UCGGAAAUACAAUUUAUUAAAAGAAAUUAGAAAAACGUGAAUGUACCAAAAGUAUUAAAAAACAAAUCUACAAACGUGAAUGUACUAGAAGUAUUAGAUAACAAAUCUACAAACGAAAAAUAUCAACGUGAAUCUACGUGUAAAUUAUUUGAAAGUCCGGAACGUAUACCGUGAUAUUAAAUAUAUUGAUCACGAUAAUCUUCUACCUUUACCGUCUUUAAUUUCUAAAAAAUCAAAUCAUCUUUUUUCGAUACAAAGUAUCGCGAAUAAAGAAAAUUAUGAAGUAAUUAAUGUUUCUUCGGAUGAAGGUAUCAAAGAAAUUGAUAUUUCUUCUGUUUUAAGUAAGUAAUUUACGCAUAAUUAUACAAAUAGGUUACUUAUUUUUUUUUUUUUUUUUAAUAAUUUUAUUAUUUGACAAAUUGACAAAUGCGAGUAUAAGUCAUUUAUUAUUGCUAUUAGAAAAAUCAAAUGAGGUUAAAACAUAUCCACCGGCGGAACCAACAAAAUGAAAAAGAAACUUCUUGAGAAAUACGAUAUACGAUGAUUGGCCAUCAGAUUAUAAAGUAUCAACGCAUUAUGCUGACUUAUUAUCGAAUAAAUACGUGAAAGACCAUGCUGAUGAAUUUCCUACAACUUUUUCAAGCUUGCGCGAAUCGUCAAAUAAAUAAUGAAAAAUCUGAUAGAGAUGAGAAGACAAAUAAUAGCGCAACAUACAGUAUAGAAAAUGUUUAUCUCUUAAGUAGAUUCAUUAGAAAUGUUAAAUCUUCUCGAUGAAUAUCAAUUGAAGUUAUUCAAAUCAAAAACAUUGUGUAGUAUUAUGGGAACUGUAAAUAAAGAAAUGGAAUGAGAAUGAAAAAUGAGAAAGAAAAAAUGA